UGCAGUCGAACGAUGAUGGCAGCCUCUGGUUGGCAUCUUAGUGGCGGACGGGUGAGUAACGCGUAAGAACUUGCCCCUGGGAGAGGGAUACCAACUGGAAACGGUUGUUAAUACCUCAUAGGCUGAGGAGUAAAAUGGUUAACACCGCCUAGGGAUAGGCUUGCGUCUGAUUAGCUAGUUGGUGGGGCAAAGGCCUACCAAGGCAAUGAUCAGUAGCUGGUCUGAGAGGACAAUCAGCCACACUGGGACUGAGACACGGCCCAGACUCCUACGGGAGGCAGCAGUGAGGAACUUUCCGCAAUGGGCGAAAGCCUGACGGAGCAAUGCCGCGUGGAGGAUGAAGGCCCGUGGGUUGUAAACUCCUUUUCUUAGAGAAGAAGCCCUGACGGUAUCUAAGGAAUAAGCAUCGGCUAACUCCGUGCCAGCAGCCGCGGUAAUACGGGGGAUGCAAGCGUUAUCCGGAAUCAUUGGGCGUAAAGGGUCCUGAGGUGGUUUGCUAAGUCUACUGUGAAAGAUCAGGGCUCAACCCUGAAGAUGCGGUGGAAACUGGCAAGCUAGAAUAUGGUAGGGGCAGGGGGAAUUCCCGGUGUAGCGGUGAAAUGCAUAGAUAUCGGGAAGAACACCAACGCGAAGCACUCUGCUGGGCCGAUAUUGACACUGACAGACGAAAGCUAGGGGAGCGAAUGGAUUAGAUACCCCAGUAGUCCUAGCCGUAAACGAUGGAUACUAAGUGCUGAACGACCAAAACGUGCAUGCUGCAGCUACGCGCCUAGGCAUCCGCCUGGGGAGCAUGGCCGCAGGAUGAACUCAAAGAAUUGACGGGGCGGCCCAGCGUGAACUGGUAAUCGAUGCCACCGAAAACUUAACAGGCUUGACAUGCCGCCUA
Molecule: ribosomal RNA, 886 nt
Filed under: uncultured cyanobacterium
Lineage: Bacteria; Bacillati; Cyanobacteriota
Description: bacterial SSU rRNA
Rfam family: Bacterial small subunit ribosomal RNA
Source: RNAcentral